AUGGAGGAGCAGCAGCGGCCAAUGGCGGCAGACCAGAUCAGCGCGCCGCGGGAGGGGAUGGGGCAGCUCUCAUGGGCCAAGCAGAGCAGAGUCGGCGGGCCAUGCCAGGACCAGCGUGAUAGGUCGCGGGCGAAGAGGGGCCAGGGCGGCGAAGACACCCCAGGAAAGGUGCCGCCGGCCACGACCUUUUUCCUCCUUGCCCUUGUUUUCUCCUUCCCGUCUAGGGUUAUCGCCGCCGCCGCCGCCAUCGUCCCCAUCCUUGCUCGCGGCCUCGGUCUCUGCGUCUCUAAUCGUCCCAAGAUCCCAAACCCGUCGUCGUCUUCUACUUCCCUCUCUUAUUCCCCUAUGCCCCGGCAAGGUGUGCCAAUCCGGCGCACACGGCAAAGUACAUCAGCAUCCAGUAUACCCCUUGACACGGCCAAGGUCAGGCUACAACUGCAGAAGAGGGUCGUCGCCAGGGAUCUCGCUGGGCCCAAGUACCGUGGCCUGCUCGGCACCGCCGCCACCAUCGCCAAGGAGGAAGGCGCCGCCGCACUCUGGAAGGGCAUCGGCCCUGGCCUCCAUCGCCGGUGCAUCUACGACGGUCGCUAUGAGCCCGUCAAAUCCUUCUAUGUUGGUGCCAUGUUGGGGAUGUACCUUUGUCCAAGAAGAUAG
RNAcentral lists this ribosomal RNA (654 nucleotides) under Triticum aestivum (bread wheat). RNAcentral describes it as "partial small subunit ribosomal RNA". Lineage: Eukaryota; Viridiplantae; Streptophyta; Magnoliopsida; Poales; Poaceae. The record is from RNAcentral.